Molecule: ribosomal RNA, 418 nt
Filed under: uncultured bacterium
Lineage: Bacteria
Description: bacterial SSU rRNA
Rfam family: Bacterial small subunit ribosomal RNA
Source: RNAcentral
AUUAACGCUGGCGGUGUACCUAAUCUAUGCAAGUCUUCCCUGCUGAGCAAUCAGCGGAGAGGCAGACGAGUGAGUAACACGUAGGUAUCUGCCCUCGACUCGGCCAUAACCCUUCGAAAGAGGGGAUAAUAGCCGAUGGUCUCUCGCGGUAGUACGCGAAGAGUAAAGUAUAUCGGUCGAGGAUGAACCUGCGUCCUAUCAGCUAGUUGGUGUGGUAAUGGCCUACCAAGGCAAUGACGGGUAGGGGGCGUGAGAGCGUGACCCCCCACGAUGGCACUGAGACACGGGCCAUACACCUACGGGUGGCAGCAAGUAGGAAUAUUGCGCAAUGGUCUAAUAGGCUGACGCAGCGACACCGCGUGCGGGAAGAAGGUUUUCGGAUCGUAAACCGACAUUAAAAAGGGGUGGCUAACUUCGU